RNAcentral lists this microRNA precursor (72 nucleotides) under Mustela putorius furo (domestic ferret). RNAcentral describes it as "miRNA (ENSMPUG00000021129.1)". Lineage: Eukaryota; Metazoa; Chordata; Mammalia; Carnivora; Mustelidae. The record is from RNAcentral.
UAUGCAUGUUAUGAAUGUGUGCAUAUGCAUGUGCAUGGAUGUGCAUCUGUGUGUACUUGUAUUUGUAUAAAU